CCUACGGGUGGCAGCAGUCGAGAAUCAUUCACAAUGGGGGAAACCCUGAUGGUGCGACGCCGCGUGGGGGAAUGAAGGUCUUCGGAUUGUAAACCCCUGUCAUGUGGGAGCAAAUUAAAAAGAUAGUACCACAAGAGGAAGAGACGGCUAACUCUGUGCCAACAGCCGCGGUAAUACAGAGGUCUCAAGCGUUGUUCGGAAUCACUGGGCGUAAAGCGUGCGUAGGCUGUUUCGUAAGUCGUGUGUGAAAGGCGCGGGCUCAACCCGCGGACGGCACAUGAUACUGCGAGACUAGAGUAAGGGAGGGGGAACCGGAAUUCUCGGUGUAGCAGUGAAAUGCGUAGAUAUCGAGAGGAACACUCGUGGCGAAGGCGGGUUCCUGGACAUUAACUGACGCUGAGGCACGAAGGCCAGGGGAGCGAAAGGGAUUAGAUACCCCAGUAGUC
This 446-nucleotide ribosomal RNA is filed under the name uncultured bacterium. RNAcentral's name for it is "partial 16S ribosomal RNA". It matches the Rfam family "Bacterial small subunit ribosomal RNA", at positions 338 to 795 of the family's 1533-position model. The record is from RNAcentral.